CUACGGGGCGCUGCAGCUGAGGAAAUUUUACAAUGCUCGAACGAGUGAUAAAAUAAACCAGAGUGUUUUUCUAUGAAAAACUUUUAUAUGAUGCAAAAAGUCAUAUGAAUAAGGACUGGGCAAGACCGGUGCCAGCCGCCGCGGUAAUACCGGCGGUCCAAGUCGUAUCCACAUUUAUUGGGUCUAAAACAUUCGUAGCUUGUUUUGUAAGUUUCUUGUGAAAUCUCAUGUCUCAAGCAUGAGGCGUGCAAGAAAUACUGCAUUACUAGAGACCGGAAGACGUAAGGAGUAUGAUUAAGGUAGCGGUAAAAUGUGUUAAUCUUGAUCAGACUAACAAUGGCGAAGGCACCUUACGAGUACGGAUCUGACAGUGAGGGAUGAAGGCCAGGGUCGCGAAAGGGAUUAGAUACCCGAGUAGUC
Molecule: ribosomal RNA, 420 nt
Filed under: uncultured archaeon
Lineage: Archaea
Description: partial 16S ribosomal RNA
Rfam family: Archaeal small subunit ribosomal RNA
Source: RNAcentral